UACUUAAAUAGUUUAUUUAAAAUAGUAGCUUGUGGUGCUACAGAUGUAUUGAUAGUAUUUUAAGUAA
This 67-nucleotide transfer RNA is filed under the name unidentified. RNAcentral's name for it is "Strongylium kulzeri tRNA-His". The record is from RNAcentral.